GUUCAUUCCCAUCCACUUGCUAGGCACGCACUGUGCCACUGAUCUAUAUCCCCAGCCCAGAAUUUUUAAAUAACUACUUUUUUUAAUCCAUCACUGGAAGCUUUCUGUUCUUUUUUGACUUGUUUGUAAACACUCCAGGCCCGGUGACCUGCAAUCGCUUUGCAGUGACUUUCAAGGAGCCAUGAGAAGCCACAGAGUCGUUUUCCAAGCAAGACAACCUGUGUUCCGAUCCCUGGACUUGCCGGGCAGAGGUUCAGGGUCAAGCAGGACCUGCACCCCAAACCCAGCUGCGCCCCGGGAAUGUGACCCUUCAGGUUCGCAGCACGGCGCAGACCUUUGCGGUGAUUCCCUCGCCCGCCCGUUUCACAGUACCUCCUGCCUCCCCUGCGCCGAGGAAAACGAUGUCAGUCGAAAAUUUCCUGGGAACAAUGAGCGGAUUGAAGUGAACCUUAGUUGAAAAAGAAACAAGAAAUAAAAUAGGAACCCAAUCAUCCAAUGAAGAAAACCGAGGAGCUUGUUGAAACGCUUUCGUAACAUUUCUGGGAAAACUAGUCAACCGUGAGAACCGAGCAUGCGUUACAUGUCCAGUAGAGGGCACCGCAGCCAAAGCACACGAGGACGGGCUCGGCCCCUUGAUUGGCCCUAGUAGGUCCUUUUAAGUAUAAGGCCGGGGCUGGGGAUUUAGCUCAGCGGCAAAGCGCCUGCCUGGCAAGUGCAAGGUCGUGAGUUCGGUUCCCGGUACCGGAGAAAAACAAAAAAAAAAAAAAAAAAAAAAAGAAUAAGGCCAAAAGCGAGUUGCAAAAGAAAAGGCCGCUGUUUUUCUGACCUGAUAAGGCAAACAGUGCGUAAGGUAGUCUUUGCUUAAAAUAAAAGCAAUGAUCAUCGAUUUUCCGGGAGCAGUAGCUGCAAAGUAGCUGACUCGGGCGUGCAGAAGGGGCCCAGCCCAGAGCGCCGCCAGCGUCGGAUCCCGAGCAGGGGGACCUUGGACGACUCGCCGCGAAGCCGCGGGAAGAGGUCGGACGGAGAGCAGCCUUAGGGACGCGGUGAGUGCUGGGAAGGUCAAGUGGUCAAAUGCGCGCCCCGUGUGACCAAGAAGAUGGGGGC
This 1104-nucleotide long non-coding RNA is filed under the name Chinchilla lanigera (long-tailed chinchilla). RNAcentral describes it as "lncRNA (ENSCLAG00000027725.1)". The record is from RNAcentral. Lineage: Eukaryota; Metazoa; Chordata; Mammalia; Rodentia; Chinchillidae.